AGCUGACUCCUGUCUUCCUGUUGGUGGACUUGUUUUCUUGGGGCAGACUGCUGUACCCGGGCGCUGGCUCUUUGCCGGAACCAACACGUCUGCCUGAUUUGCCGACCGCCCAGGCUCACAGGAUCAAGCUGAAAAGAACCAGGGCCGCGUGGUGCACCUGGGUCUCGGGUCACCCCUUCGACUGAAUGGUCAAGUCCCCAAAGCACUGGGCCAAGUCUUCAUGAAACCUACCUGAUCACUGGACUUCUCCCCUUCAAAAACAAAACAGAACCUCACCAGCGGCGGGGAAGUGUCCUCUGGCGUAGUGGUGCCCGGGGAGCAAAGUGCAGCGGACCACAGGGUCUUGGGCCUGCACUGCGAGAUCUUGCUCCCAGGGCCCAGUAGGCCCCCUUCCUGCACCCCGGGAGUCACACAGUCCCCGGCCCAGGCCCUCAAUCCAGGCUGGAAGGCGGCACCCUCAGCCCGGGCGGCCAGGAAGCAGGGCUGAGUUUGCGGUGAGCAACCCACAGUUGAAAUGGAGUCUUCCACAGUGGCCCCAUGGCCUCCUGCACCCCAGACCUCCUGCCUCUGCCCUCCUGCCUGCGCUCCUCUUCUGCUCCUGCUCCCUUCCAACCCGAUCCUCGGUCGCAUGCUGAGCACAGGGCAGGCGUCUCUGGCCGUCACCUUCGGGGACCACGCAGCAUCUGCACACCAGGGGCCAGCACCACAGCCCACGCUGAGCCACCUCUGAGCAGCACCCAGAACCUUUGUCUGGGUGACACUUACUGCAGCACAGCAUGUGCUCGGAGAGCAGGCCACCUGGCUGCAUGCAGGGGUCUCGCAGGUGGCAGCUGCCAGUCCCUGAUGCCCGGCCGUGGCAGAGCAGCCCAGGGUCCCCGGCCAGCUGGGCACCCAGACCCCAGAGUCCCCAUGAACUCAAGGCCCCGCCCCUCUGUUCUGCUAUGAAAAAUGGAUGCGCUGGUGGGGAAAUCCUGCUGUGCCUUCCGAGUCAGGAACUGAAGGAAAAUUUAGCUUUUGAUAUUAUUCAGUCCCUUUUGCUAUUUGAAUUCACUUCCAUCAUAAAUGGCUGGCGC
RNAcentral lists this long non-coding RNA (1073 nucleotides) under Heterocephalus glaber (naked mole-rat). RNAcentral describes it as "lncRNA (ENSHGLG00100035348.1)". The record is from RNAcentral. Lineage: Eukaryota; Metazoa; Chordata; Mammalia; Rodentia; Bathyergidae.